This 402-nucleotide ribosomal RNA is filed under the name uncultured bacterium. RNAcentral's name for it is "bacterial SSU rRNA". It matches the Rfam family "Bacterial small subunit ribosomal RNA", at positions 355 to 774 of the family's 1533-position model. The record is from RNAcentral.
UAGGGAAUAUUGGUAAUGUGCGAAAGCGCGAACCAGCAACGCCGCGUGCACGAUGAAGGCCUUCGGGUCGUAAAGUGCUUUUAGAGAGGAUGAGGAAGGACAGUACUUUCUGAAUAAGCCUCGGCUAACUACGUGCCAGCAGCCGCGGUAAAACGUAGGAGGCUAGCGUUAUCCGGAUUUACUGGGCGUAAAGCGCAUGCAGGGGGUUUUGUAAGUUGGAUGUGAAAGCUCCUGGCUUAACUGGGAGAGGUCGUUCAAAACUACAAGACUUGAGAUUGGUAGAGGAAAAUGGAAUUCCGGGUGUAGUGGUGAAAUGCGUAGAUAUCCGGAGGAACACCAGUGGCGAAAGCGGUUUUCUGGACCAAUUCUGACACUCAGAUGCGAAAGCUAAGGUAGCAAACG